Molecule: long non-coding RNA, 586 nt
Filed under: Homo sapiens (human)
Lineage: Eukaryota; Metazoa; Chordata; Mammalia; Primates; Hominidae
Description: PGM5 antisense RNA 1 (PGM5-AS1)
Source: RNAcentral
ACUGGCAGAUUAUUGCAAAAAGGGCACGGGGCAGAGGGACUAUGUUGUGAGCCUGCGAAAGAAGUUUGUGUGGGGACUGUGGGCAGUGAAUGCGUUGGGAACAAUAUGGAAAACUGGGAGCUGCCUUGGAAUCUACAGGGCCGGGCUGAAGAAAAGAAGAAUGGUAUUCAUGCAGUUCCCAUUUUACAGAUGAAAACAAGAGGACUUUUUCUGUGAAGUCAAGAAAGUGGUUACAAUGGUACUUUCAGCCUGUCCGAAUUAUGUAUUGCCCCUCCCCUUUUUAUUAAUAACAUUGAAGUGUGAUGGGACAACCACUGAAGCCGUCUGUUGAAACCUGCUGGGACUUUUUAGCCAUUCUCUUCAACAUAAAGAAUGGGUGUUUUUGGAGGGGGUGAGAGGAAUGGGGAAAUGUUGUCAAAGAGUACAAUGUUUUAGUUGAGACAGGAGGAAUAUAUUUUGUUGAGAUCUACAGCACAGCAUGGUGACUGUAGUUAACAAUGAAGUAUUGUGUAUUUCAAAAUUGCUAAGACAAUAAAUUUCAAAUGUUCUCACCACAAAAAAGAUAGGUUUUGAGGUGAUGAAUCUA